AUUGGUAAUUUUCUAUCUUAAUUAUAUUAUUAACAAGGUUUCUCUAUAUAAUACUUAAUAGAGUUUUGCGUUUCACGAUAGUUAUUAUUAAAGAAUAUUAGUACUUCAUUUUGACGUUCUUCUUUUUAUUAAGUAAUAAAAAGAACCUGAUGAAUGGGAAAGAAGGAUAUUAUUUGUAAUACAUAAACAAAUAAUUAUAUUUAACAUAAAGUAAUUUAUUUAAUCAUCUAACUUUUUGUCUACUUUUAGCUUUUACGUUCUUAUAAAAAGUAGUAAGGUUUUUACUCUAAGGAUGAGAAGAACGUAAAAAUACAAGGAAAUUUUAUUUUAUAAAAAGAUAUAAAAUUCAUAUUGAUAUUAUAAAAAAAGAGUUCACCGCUUUUCAAUAAAAAUAAGUAUAACAUAAAAAGUUAUACUUAUUUUACUAUUAGGAUUUUAUAGUUCACCCCCGCCUGUCCGUUUUGGAAGGGAAAUGUUCUAUUCCGGCCUUCUUUUUAAUUAUAAUAAUGAGGAUGAAAUAAAGAAGGCUUACUACCCUUUUUAAGGCUAAUAUUCCGAGGUUUUAGGUGAGGCAUACAACUACUUCUCUAUAUUUUAUAUAAUAAACAAGUUGAAAAAAUAUGACCAAGGUAACUAAAAAAGAGGCCGCAGGUCUUAAAAAGGUUAUAAAAGGAAAGGGAAAAAGAGAGACUCUUUUUCCCUUUCCUUUGCCUGAAAACGAAUCAUAGAAAUGUUACUAAUAGUAGCCAAUGCUAUGGGACGUUUUUCUUAUAUUACUUUUUUAAAUUAACUACAAUACAAUAUGAGAAGUAAAAGUACUGUAAAUAGCACGGGGCAAUUUUAUUUUACUUUUUUCGCUCCAUUAUAUUUAUUUGUAUAAAAUUAGAAAUAUCAGUAAAUAAAACAAAAAUAACCUCUGUCCCUUUGUCUCUUUUAUUUGUAAUAGAGAAAGCAUAAAGUAAGGCUAAGAUCGUAGACCUUCUCCCUUUUCGUUUUAACUUUAUUAUUAUUUUAAUUAUGUUCCUGAACUUUUAUAUCCACGGACAUAAAAGCCUAAUCCUUGAGGGAUUUAAAAUAAAAAAAAAGGAUAUAAUUAGAUAUGGUUUUAUUUAGUAAUAAAAUAAAUUAGUAUUGCUAAACUUAAUAUGUUAUUCAUACUUACAUUAGCAACCUAUAAUAUAAAUAAACAAAAAUAUAGGUUAUUUGUUAUAUUAAAAUGUUUAUUAUUAAUUAUUAUAAUCAGUAAGAAAUGAUCAUUUUCUUAUUUAUUAGAAUUUACAGAGAGGUGCUUCGUGCUUAAGAUGCUUUCAGCACUUAUCUAUCAUGAUUGUAGCUACCCUACUAUGCUUUAUUUAUACUUUAUAUAUUUAUAGAUUGAAAUCUAUAAGAAUAAAUGGGUAUAGAUAUUAUACAAUAGGUACACUAUUGAAUCAUCUUUAAUGGUCCUUUCGUACUAAUUAAAGGUUCUCUUUCAAUUAUUUAUAUCUUCAGAAGAUAGGGACCAUACUGACUCACGUCGUAUUGACAAAUAUUAUUAUGAAUUAAAAUUUGGUAAGGGAAGAUCAUACGUCUCCCCUAGACCUUAUUAUAUUCAAAGCCUUUGAAUUCCAAUGAUUUACAUCAUUGAUUAGACUAUUUCUUCAAUAAAUUACACUAUAACAAUGUAAUUUAUUGCUGGACACUUUAUAUCGGAUUAUUGCUAAUGCAGCUCACCAAGUAGUCGUUGAACGUUUUAUUCUCUACAAUCUAUGCUUAAUCUAAUUAGAAUUAAGAUUAGAAGGGCAUUGAGAAUAACUUCGCUGCAGAUAAACUAACAAUUAGUUUAGUUUUUCCUGCAAUUCAUCCAGUUUUAUUUGGGCUCAAUACUUUUUUUUUUAUAAACUUUGGUAAGAUUAAAAAUUAAUGAAAACAAAAUACAUAUAAUGUGGGGGGAUCUUAUCUAAAUAGAAUAAAAGUCCUAUACGAUAUAGCAUACUGUUGUGCAUAUGAGGCAUAAGAAUUGUCUGUACUUUUUUUAGUUCAAUUUUGGCAAUAGUCAGAAUGUAUUGUUUUUUCUGAUAAGAACCGAUACGGUCAAAUAGAACUUCACAUUGAAUCCCACAACCUUCACGAAUUCUGUUUCGUAGAAUAAUACAUUCAUCAUAUGAAUAAUAAUUAGUGUAAAUACGAAUACGACCAUCUUUAUAAUAAUUACCGUCACCCAUAAUGAAAUGGGCUAGUACUACAGGAUUUAUUUUAAUAUUCUCAGGAAUUAUCUUAAUAUAUUUGUUUUCAUCGUAGCGAUAAAAUGUAUUAUGAUAAUCAUUAAAAAUAGGUAGUGUUUUCGUUUUUAGACGAUAAUUUACAUAUGAUUUUUCUUUUCUAUUAACUGUCACAGUAUAAAUUCCUUUUGAAGAGUAGUCUGAGAAAAGAGAUCUAAUUCAAUUGGCGUAUUCUAGAUAAGAAGAACCAAAGGAAAAAGACAUUCGACAAUUUACUUUUAUUUUCUCAAGGUGAGCAUCACCAAGGAUUUGUCCCGUAAUAAUAUAGUGUAGUUUAUUGUUCAUUUUGUCUGUAUUUUUUAAUCUGGUAAAAUUUAUAAUGUUAUUAUUGUCAUAAGUAAUAAUAAACCCAACUCGCGUACCUCUUUAAUCAGCGAACAGCUGAACCCUUCCAAGCUACUACACCUGGAGGAUGAGAUGAGUCGACAUCGAGGUGUCAAACCGUUUGGACAAUAUGAACUCUCGCAAACGAUAAACCUGUUAUCCCUAGCGUAACUUUUAUUUCUUGAGCGAUAAUCAUUCCAUUAAGGAUUACCGGAUCACUAUGUCCUAUUUGCAUAUCUGAUCGAUUUAUCAAUCUUUCAGUUAAGUAUGUUUUAUCAUUAUAUUUUAUUAAAUUAUUCAUAAUUUAUUGGUUUCUGACCAAUAUAUACAUACCUUUGAAGGCCUCUGAUACUUUAUUAGAGGCUACCGUCCCAGUCAAACUGACAAUUUGACAUUUUCCCAAAAUCUUAAAGAGCAUUGCCCUUCUAAUUUAUUUUGGUAAGUUUUUUUGUUCUAUUAAUCAAGGUAUUUCACUGACGUAAAGUAUUUACUCCCUUGUAUUCUACACUUAAAGAACGAAAAGACAAUAUCAAACUACAGUAAAGUUGCAUAGGGUCUUCCCGUCUACCUGAAGACAAACCGCAUCUGCACGGCUAAUUCAAUUUCACUGAGAUACUUGUGGAGACAGCAGAGCCACGUUACCUCAUUCAUGCAGGACCACAUUUAAUGGCCAAGGAAUUUUGCUACUUUCAGAUCCUUAUAGUUAAGACCGCCAUUCACCACAGUGUCGAUUAAUGACAUAAAAUCAUCUUUUUUAUACUAUGUGGCAUCGGGCAGAGUUCACAACUUAUACAAAUACUAAAUGUCUUAGCAAGUUGCUGUGUUUUUGGUAAACAGUCGCAGCUCUCGAUUUUGUGUCACACAUUGUAUGUAUAAAAAUAUACAUAAAAUGGUUAUCCUUAUUGUCGAACGUACGGAUACAUUUUGCCGAGUUCCUUCACAAGUAUUAUCUCUACACCUUAGUAUUCUCUACCUACGAACCUGUGUCGGAUUAGGGUACGGUUUAUAAAAUUUUAUAUAAAUAAGAUAACGUAGCUUCUACAAAGUUUUUUAAAAAAGUUUAGCUACAGUAUUAUUUAGAUAUUAUUUUUAUCAUUAAUUUCUUGAUAUAGGACAGAAGUCUAACUCCCCCCUCUUAUUUUAUUCUCUUUGUCUUUUCAUAUAUAAAAAUGGUAGACGAUAUAGAAUAAAAAGUUUUAAUGUCAUCAGAUAUAUAUGGUCAUAUAUAUGCCUUAGAAACCGAUUAACUCAUAGCAGAUUAACUUAUCUAUGAAACCCUUUCGUUUUCGGUGAGGGAUAUUCUAAUCCCUUUCUACGUUACUCAUGUCAGCAUUUUCUCUUUAGUAUUUUCCAAUUUAUCAAUAAAUACAAAUUUUCAUUAUUAUACUAAAUGUUCUGCUACCCUCAUUUUAUUUUUAUUAUAUAUAUGCCUUUCUCUUACGUUUUUCUUUAAAAAAAAAAGAACAGUGUCCUUCUAGGUAAGAAUUAGCAAAAAGGCUGAAAUAAAAUAGACAAAGUAUAGGUAUAUUAUCUAAGACCCAAUAAAUUGUAGACGCUUUUUUCCAAUAUAAUUUACUUAUAGUUAGACCACUGAGUUGUUACACUAUCAUAAAAAGAUGGCUACCUCCAAGCCUACUUAAUGGUUGUAUUAGGAAAAAAACAUUCUUAUUUUCACUAAAUAAUAUUUAGGGACCUUAACUUUUGUUCUGGGCUGUUUCCCUUUUGUCUAUCCACCUUAUCAAGAAUAGACUGUACGUUUAUAAUCAAUUAUUUUUAUUCCGAGGUUAACCAUCAAUGGUAGAAUUUAGAAUCCCCCAAUUUAGUAUAUAAGUUUAUAUAUUAGAAGUUUAAUUCUAGUAUAUAAAUAUAACAUAUGAUGAUCAGUGCUGUACAAAAAAUAAUCUAUUAGCAUGAUUUUUACGUUCUGAUCCCCAAGGGGACUUAAUCUUUUUAAAUAUAUAAAGAGAAUAUCUUUAUAUGUUUAAAAAGUUUAUAUGUAUAUAUAAAAGAACGUAAGAUAGCUUAAGCUAAACAAAAAAAAUAUACUAAUAUUAUAAACAUCCUACCUAAAUAGGUUUCGCAGAAUACCAGCUAUCAACCAAGUUAGAUUAGCAUUUCACCCCUUACUACAAUUCAUCAAAGAAUUUUGCAACAUUCACUUGUUCGGUCAUUAUAUAUUUAAUACCUGAUCAUAGUAAGAUCACUUGGCUUCGGGUCUAAUUUUUAUAACUAAUCUGCAUAAUUAAUUUUAAACUUGUCUCUUCAAACAUGUUCUAGAAUAAAUAAAAAACCUGUAAAAACUUAUCUUAUUAAUCUUAAUCGGCAGAACCGACCAACUUUUUUUAUAUAAAAAAAGCAAAGACAAAAAAGCAAAUUAAUAUAGUAUCCUAUAUUAAUUUUGUUUCGACUAUUUUGCUUAUAUAUACUAAGUAAGUCUAGACAGAACUACACUAUCUCAUAUUUUCUAUAAAAUAUUUAUGCAAUCGCUUUCACUUAGACUAUUUGUCCUGCUAUAAAAAUUAACUCGCUGACCCAUUAUGCAAAAGGUACGUUAUUAUUCUAACUUAUAGAACUUUAACUGCUUAUAAAACUACUAGUUCAGAAUCUAUUUAACUAGUCAUCUACUUACUUUUCACCUUUCACUCACGUUACUCUUCUUUAUUGUUAUACAUGUUAUACUUAGCUUUAGAGGAUGGUACCCCUGUUUUCCUAAAAGGCUGACGUCCUCUUAGUACUUAUUAUUUAAGUAAAAUUAAAAUGAAAUAAUAUAUAAUAUUUCUAUCUUUUUAAUUUACUAUAAUUAAAAAUCUUGUAUAAAUAUGACCUACUAUUCAUUUUAAUUCUCUUCUAAUAUACCGCAGAAAAGGAUUGUGGCCUCUCUACAGAAUUUUUUUGUUGCUUAAUUAUUCUUCUAUAAGUUUUUGUUAUAAUAUAACUUUUUUCCUUACUCAAAUAAAAGCAAAUACCGUUCAAUCUUUGUAUAUAUAUAUGUAUAGACAAAGCCGAUGUAGAUUUACGAACAUUAUAAUAAUACUGGGCUAUAACCUUCUAUGGAAUACUACCUGUUAUUGUUUAUUAAGCCUAAAGAGCUAGUCUUAUUUUCAUUAUCAUAUGAUAAUAAGAUGGGGUAGCCCUUUUUUAUAUAUGGUUAGUUACCCUUUGUAAAAAAGUAAUUCCCCUUUUGAGCUUAAAAUACAUAAACUUAGUAUUUUAUUUAUUUCAAAAUAUUAUAUUAUAAAUCGCUCCGCGGAAAUUUUAUAAUCUAGAUGUGUAUUAAUAAAUUAUUAUCUAAAAAAAGACUUUUAUUUUUAUUCCCACUAUAGAAUAUAGAAUUUAUUAAUAGCUAUUUUGGUUUCACUCACCAUUACUUCCAAAGUCUCGGUUGAUUUCCUUUCCUAUUGAUACUGUAAUGUUUUACUUCUCAACGUAGUAAUGAAUUUAGGUUUUCCUUAGGAUUGUAUAUUAUUCUGAUUAUUUAAUAUACUUUUAGUUUUUUACUUCCUUUUAUUACAUAUAUACUAGGCAUCCCUAAUAGUUUCUUUAAUUACUAAAUAAUAUACUCCAUAUCAUUAUUGAUACUUAUAAUUAUAAAAAUAAUAUUAGUAAAUAAAUAGAUAAUAACUAUCUUAUUAUCUAGCUUUAUACUAAUACCCGUCAUAAUAUUAUAAUGCCUAGGAGAUUAAUUGUUAUUUAAUUUUUACAACAACUAAACCUAAACUUCCGAUAUUGUUAUUAUUAUAAUUAUUGUAUAGUAUUUAGACGGUGUACGUGUUUGUCUCACGCACGGAUUAUAUAUAAAGAGAGGUGAAAGACUCACAACCUAUCUUUUUUAUAUUUAUAUAUAAAGGGAGACUAUUUUUGUAAGAAACACGUGUAAUUAACUAUUAUUACAUUAUAUAAGUAAUAAUAUUAGAAUCAAAUAUAUAUUAUAAUAUAUCAAGAUGUUAUAUUGUACUUUAUAUAUGUAUAUAAAGCAAAGACAUAUUACGCCCAAUACUUUUUUAACUUUAGGAUUUCUAAGUAUUUUAUAAUUAUCUUUUUUAAUAUGUAGAUAUUAAACAAUAAGGUGUAGUCUGUACAAUAUAACACUUAUUCUUUAUGGUGAAAUCUUAUAAAUUUUAUCCGCGGAGCCGACAACUUUCUUCUUUAUUAUUAAUAUUUUAUAUCCUAUCUAAGGAGGGAUAAGGAUUUCUUCUGUAUAUAUAUGAAAAAGGUACCAAAGAUUUUUACACACUUUAACUUUACAAGCUACCUAAAUUCUAUUUAAUAAAACGAAUUAAAUUUAGAGGUGCGAUAACCUGGACCCGAUUUCAAUAGAUACUUUUUAUCCUUAUCCUCCAAAGGCUACGCUUUUUAUCCCUAAAAAUAGAAAGGGAAAAGGCCAAGUAUAGUCGUAAACUCCCUUUCUUUAUGCUUAAAUUUGUGGACGUCAAUUAUAUCUAAAAACGUAAAAGAAGCCCACUAUGGUAAGGACCAAAAUCAUUGUAGAAGGCAUAAAUGAUGUAAAAGAAGUGUUUUGACAUAGGUAUAUACUCUGCUGAUAAAAAUAAAUAAGUUAAAGACUAAAUAAUAUAUUUUAUUACCCUACUUUUUGUUGAUAAUCGCUUACGGCGAAAAAAUUUGAUAUUUUCAAUAUACUAUUAUAAUA
RNAcentral lists this ribosomal RNA (7233 nucleotides) under Tilletia indica. RNAcentral's name for it is "large subunit ribosomal RNA". The record is from RNAcentral. Lineage: Eukaryota; Fungi; Basidiomycota; Exobasidiomycetes; Tilletiales; Tilletiaceae.